Prunus persica (peach) is the source of this 1088-nucleotide long non-coding RNA. RefSeq lists it as uncharacterized. The record is from RefSeq and is a predicted model, not a curated record. NCBI's taxonomy places the organism in Eukaryota, Viridiplantae, Streptophyta, Magnoliopsida, Rosales, Rosaceae. The transcript is spliced from 3 exons.
UAUAACAACACGUAAUCAACAACGUGCAUUCAUAUGCGUUGUGGAACAAUAUUUUUAACAACCCGUAGAAGCAGCACGUUGCAUUAUACAAUUUAUAACAACGUGCAUGUAUAGCGUGUUGUCAAAAUAUAGAGUAGAGCUAUUUUCACAACGCAGCCUUGCGUGUUGUAGUAGUUUUAAGUUCUACAACGCACGACGCAUGUUGUCAAAAUUAUAUUAAUUUUUUAAAUAAAAAAAUUGGUCGAAAAGGGAGCGAAAAUUUUUGCGGGAAAAGUCCCCCUUUCUCAAAACCUAAAACAUGUUCUUUUAUAUGGGUUUGGCCUAAAAAGUUUUCACAAGUUCCAACAAGUCUCUCUCAUCCAUUCACCUUCCCCUUCCUCUUCUAUUCUCUUGUUUUUUUUAACGAACCCCUUCCUCUAUUCUCUACAGCGCACUAGUUAUCACUCUAAAGCUUAAAGAAAUCCAAAGCUUGCCUCUAAUUGAAUGGCCAUGUCUUUCUCUACAGCACAGUUAUCACUCUAAAGCUUAAAGAAAUCAGUCUGACUCUAAUUGAAUGGCCAGACAAGGCCAGGGCCACUAAGAGAUUGUUUGAAAUUGAAUGGACUAAGAAGUGGGCACCAACUAUAAACUCCAAUACUACUACUCUUGCAAAGAUAUUGGGUGAGAAGAGGAUUGGUGUAAUUUGUUUCUCAGAUGGAUAAAGAAUGGCUGCAAUUUAACAGGUUGAGCAUAUAUAACUUGAGAGAGUAUUAGGUUUUGAGUACUAUUAAAUUUAUUGUUUCUAUUAAAUAAAAAUUUAUUAUAGAUUUUCAGAUGAAUACAGAAAGGGAGCACGUCAAUUUGUCAAUGUAGCACAAAGACAUGCGGGAAACUUAGAUAUUAUAGUAUGCCCUUGUUUGGAAUGCAGAAACCUACAACAUCACCACUUUAAUUUAGUAUAUGAACACUUGGUCAUAAAAGGCAUGGAUCCUGCCUAUACCACUUGGGUUUUCCAUGGUGAAAGUCCAAGUGAUGAUGUUCAAUAUGAAGAUGUGGAAAUGCCCGAGGCAAAUAGGUUGUACCAUGACUUUUAUUUCCAAGAUGAUGAA